AGGACGAACGCUGGCGGCGUGCCUAACACAUGCAAGUGGAGCGACGAACCAGGCUUCGGCCUGGGGCAAAGCCGCGAACGGGUGAGUAACACGUGGGUAACCUGCCCCGAUGAUUGGGACAACCCGAGGAAACUCGGGCUAAUACCGAAUGUGCCCUACGGCCAUAAGGCCGCUGGGGAAAGGAAGCUUCGGCCUCCGCAUCGGGAUGGGCCCGCGGCCCAUUAGCUUGUUGGUGAGGUAACGGCUCACCAAGGCGACGAUGGGUAGCUGGUCUGAGAGGACGAUCAGCCACACUGGGACUGAGACACGGCCCAGACUCCUACGGGAGGCAGCAGUGGGGAAUCUUGCGCAAUGCGCGAAAGCGUGACGCAGCAACGCCGCGUGGGGGAAGAAGGCCUUCGGGUUGUAAACCCCUUUCAGUUGGGACGAAGCUUCGCCGGUGAAUAGCCGGUUGGAGUGACGGUACCUUCAGAAGAAGCCCCGGCUAACUACGCGCCAGCAGCCGC
This 506-nucleotide ribosomal RNA is filed under the name uncultured bacterium. RNAcentral describes it as "SSU rRNA". It matches the Rfam family "Bacterial small subunit ribosomal RNA", at positions 26 to 518 of the family's 1533-position model. The record is from RNAcentral.